AUUGAACGCUAGCGGCAUGCUUAACACAUGCAAGUCGAACGGUAACAGGGGAGAGCUUGCUCUCUCGCUGACGAGUGGCGGACGGGUGAGUAACGCGUAGGAAUCUACCUUGUAGUGGGGGACAACCCGGGGAAACUCGGGUUAAUACCGCAUAAUCUCUACGGAGCAAAGCGGGGGACCUUCGGGCCUCGUGCUAUAAGAUGAGCCUGCGUUGGAUUAGCUAGUUGGUGGGGUAAAGGCCUACCAAGGCGACGAUCCAUAGCUGGUCUGAGAGGACGAUCAGCCACACUGGGACUGAGACACGGCCCAGACUCCUACGGGAGGCUG
This 327-nucleotide ribosomal RNA is filed under the name uncultured Pseudomonadota bacterium. RNAcentral describes it as "bacterial SSU rRNA". It matches the Rfam family "Bacterial small subunit ribosomal RNA", at positions 30 to 351 of the family's 1533-position model. Lineage: Bacteria; Pseudomonadati; Pseudomonadota. The record is from RNAcentral.